This 462-nucleotide ribosomal RNA is filed under the name uncultured bacterium. RNAcentral describes it as "partial 16S ribosomal RNA". It matches the Rfam family "Bacterial small subunit ribosomal RNA", at positions 28 to 507 of the family's 1533-position model. The record is from RNAcentral.
GACGAACGCUGGCGGCGUGCUUAACACAUGCAAGUCGAACGGAAAGGCCCUUCGGGGUACUCGAGUGGCGAACGGGUGAGUAACACGUGGGUGAUCUGCCCUGCACUUUGGGAUAAGCCUGGGAAACUGGGUCUAAUACCGAAUAGGACCACGCGCUUCAUGGUGUGUGGUGGAAAGCUUUUGCGGUGUUGGAUGGGCCCGCGGCCUAUCAGCUUGUUGGUGGGGUAAUGGCCUACCAAGGCGACGACGGGUAGCCGGCCUGAGAGGGUGACCGGCCACACUGGGACUGAGAUACGGCCCAGACUCCUACGGGAGGCAGCAGUGGGGAAUAUUGCACAAUGGGCGCAAGCCUGAUGCAGCGACGCCGCGUGAGGGAUGACGGCCUUCGGGUUGUAAACCUCUUUCAAUAGGGACGAAGCGAAAGUGACGGUACCUAGAGAAGAAGCACCGGCCAACUACGUG